AGUUGACUGGCCCCACUUGGACCAAGCACACUUGCUGUGACUUCUGUUAAAUGUAGCCAGCACUUGACAAACAUGCAAAACAAGGGUGCUUUCCAGGCAUGGCUACAUAGGUUUAUUAACAUUAGCUCAAAGGUUAUGUGAGAUUUAAAACAUUAAUAUAGCAGCAAACAAUUGUGGAAAGACUAUCCAAGACAGCUUUGGGAUUCUGCUGUUUGGCCAAUUCCAGGCUGCUAAGUUUUGGUGCAGUCCUAACACUGCAGAGACAUCACAGCCUGAAUGUACUUACGUCCUCCAGGCCACCACUUGAUGGAGCUGAUUGUGGGGCUGUUCAAGACAAACUCCUGAGUGGCUGGAUCAUAUGUGGCUGUGGUCUCCAGCCCUCUGAGGUGAGUGCCUAGAGAGAGACAACAGAUCAAAGCACACCAAACACAUAGAAAGGGAACACAUACAUACAGAGUACAAAGUGGAAAAACCAAAAUGAAUGGUUACUCAGUGACAGCAGUGAGACAUUAAUCUGUAAAGCAUGUUUACAACUAACAUUGUAAGUGACACGUGAUAUGACAGAUGAUUAGAUCAAUCAAACAUAUUAUAAUAUGUGAAUACAUGAAUCAUACAGUCAACAAAAGAUAUCUCAAAACAUCAAACAGGAUAAUGGAUCAAAGAAACAUGUUUAGCCCAAAACAGUUCGAUAUAUAAAUAUGUUUCUGAACUCUUUUCAAUGAAAAUAAAA
Long non-coding RNA from Dicentrarchus labrax (European seabass), 730 nucleotides. RefSeq lists it as uncharacterized. NCBI's taxonomy places the organism in Eukaryota, Metazoa, Chordata, Actinopteri, Moronidae. The record is from RefSeq and is a predicted model, not a curated record. The transcript has 2 exons.